UAAGAGAGAAUGGCCCAGGA
This 20-nucleotide unclassified non-coding RNA is filed under the name Mus musculus (house mouse). RNAcentral's name for it is "oocyte_clustered_small_RNA6961". The record is from RNAcentral. Lineage: Eukaryota; Metazoa; Chordata; Mammalia; Rodentia; Muridae.